RNAcentral lists this ribosomal RNA (305 nucleotides) under uncultured bacterium. RNAcentral's name for it is "bacterial SSU rRNA". It matches the Rfam family "Bacterial small subunit ribosomal RNA", at positions 334 to 655 of the family's 1533-position model. The record is from RNAcentral.
UUUUCCUACGGGAGGCAGCAGUGGGGAAUAUUGCACAAUGGGGGAAACCCUGAUGCAGCGACGCCGCGUGAGUGAAGAAGUAUUUCGGUAUGUAAAGCUCUAUCAGCAGGGAAGAAAAUGACGGUACCUGACUAAGAAGCCCCGGCUAACUACGUGCCAGCAGCCGCGGUAAUACGUAGGGGGCAAGCGUUAUCCGGAUUUACUGGGUGUAAAGGGAGCGUAGGUGGCAUGGUAAGCCAGAAGUGAAAACCCAGGGCUCAACUCUGUGGAUUGCUUUUGGAACUAUCAAGCUAGAGUGCUGGAGG